CCUACGGGGUGCAGCAGUGAGGAAUAUUGGUCAAUGGACGAGAGUCUGAACCAGCCAAGUAGCGUGAAGGAUGACUGCCCUAUGGGUUGUAAACUUCUUUUAUAUGGGAAUAAAAUGUUCCACGUGUGGGAUUUUGUAUGUACCAUAUGAAUAAGGAUCGGCUAACUCCGUGCCAGCAGCCGCGGUAAUACGGAGGAUCCGAGCGUUAUCCGGAUUUAUUGGGUUUAAAGGGAGCGUAGGUGGAUUGUUAAGUCAGUUGUGAAAGUUUGCGGCUCAACCGUAAAAUUGCAGUUGAAACUGGCAGUCUUGAGUACAGUAGAGGUGGGCGGAAUUCGUGGUGUAGCGGUGAAAUGCUUAGAUAUCACGAAGAACUCCGAGUGCGAAGGCAGUUCACUGGACUGCAACUGACACUGAGGCUCGAAAGUGUGGGUAUCAAACAGGAUUAGAUACCCCAGUAGUC
This 460-nucleotide ribosomal RNA is filed under the name uncultured bacterium. RNAcentral describes it as "partial 16S ribosomal RNA". It matches the Rfam family "Bacterial small subunit ribosomal RNA", at positions 338 to 795 of the family's 1533-position model. The record is from RNAcentral.